GGGGUUGUAGCUCAGUGGUAGAGCACUUGCCUCUCAUGUGAGAGGCACUGGGUUCAAUUCUCAGCACCACA
Molecule: transfer RNA, 71 nt
Filed under: Marmota monax (woodchuck)
Lineage: Eukaryota; Metazoa; Chordata; Mammalia; Rodentia; Sciuridae
Description: tRNA.Glu
Rfam family: tRNA
About the family: Transfer RNA (tRNA) molecules are approximately 80 nucleotides in length.
Source: RNAcentral